GCGAAAGGUGCCCGCCGAGUCCCACGGUCACAGGCUUCACCCGCCUGUGAUUUUUUAAAGGGUCCCCGCUUCGCCGUAGCAGAACAGACCCGAUUUCCGUAGAGCCAGUCCCUCCGGAUCAGAGGGAGUCCGCCAUUACCGAUGGCGCCACCCCGGAAGUCGGGGAAAGUGUAUUUAAAUAUCUUUUUAAAUUCGUUAUAAAUCAGUUCCCAAAACUGUUUCAUUUUCUCACACGUCCACCACAUGUGGUAAAAAUCUCCAUCUUUAUCUUUGCAUUUCCAACAUGUCUUACUACUAAUCCUGUACAUUCUUGCCGCUUCACUUCUUCGCAUAGCUGUCAACUUACAGAUUUGAAAAUAAGGGACCAGCAGCCUCGGAAAUAAGGGACCAGCAGCCAAAAUAAGGGAUUUUCAGAGCACAGGCAUGUUCAACUUCUGAGCCCCUCCGAACCAAAGGCAGAAAGCCCAGCCAGCAGCCAAACAAAGCCUCAAGUGGUGGUUCCCACAGCGUAGCAACCCGGCAAAGGGGUUGCAGCAAGGAAAACCACCGUCACCUCUCCGCUGGGAAGCGCUGAGCAAAGGCAAGUCCCCAGGCAACGCGUCUGAUUUGAUCGGCACAAGGCAUGCAAGCUCCACCCCCCAGUCAUUCUUAGACUCUUUAUGGGGGGAGCAACGCAGCCAAGCAACACAGUUGGAGCCAGCCAGAACACAGCGGGACACGGCGCUGGGAUAAGGGAGUUUCCCGCCAAAUAAGGGACGGUUGACAGCUAUGCUUCUUUGUUGCUCCUCCUGCAGUGAGCCAGCAUUGAAGAUGCUUUCAUUUUAAAAAAACCCCAAGUUUAAGGUUUGCCAGAGGUUGGGAGUGAACACACACACACACCAGCUUAACAGGGACAAAGCGAAACAUCCAGCCCCCAGGGUAUCAGUGCCUCGUAAUCUGAGACGUCCAGAUAAAGCAGGACAGUAUUGGUGUUAAAUAAGUAAUGAUCAGACGAAAGGCGUCCUGGAAAAAGGAGAUUGAUCUGUGUGCGCAGCUGGUCUUCUGGAGAGCCACCAAGGUCACCUUGCAUGACCCUGAAAGGCUGAUGCAAUGUAAGAACCUAAGAAUGCAAGAGUCUUGCCGGAUCCAUAUAGGUCCAUAUGAGGUCCAUAUAGUUCAGCAUCCUGGUCUUAUCUCAGGGACCAACCACAUGCUCCAAUGGGAUGCCCAUUUGAGAUUCCCAGCAAGUGGUAUUCGGAAGCAUAUUGCCUCAUACAGCGGAGGUCCAACACUGUAGUCCUACAACAGCCAUGCAAGGUGGGCCAGGGCCCCUGGUCUGGAUAGAAACAGAGGCUUAAAGCCCCCAGCCCUUCACACUAGGUUCUGUGAUAAGAAUUUUAAGGUCUUAAGGUAAAGGGACCCCUGACCAUUAGGUCCAGUAGUGACCGACUCUGGGGUUGUGGCACUCAUCUCGCUUUAUUGGCCGAGGGAGCCGGCGUACAGCUUCCGGGUCAUGUGGCCAGCAUGACUAAGCCGCUUCUGGCGAACCAGAGCAGCGCAUGGAAACGCCGUUUACCUUCCCGCUGGAGCGGUACCUAUUUAUCUACGUGCACUUUGACGUGCUUUCAAAUUGCUAGGUUGGCAGAGCUGGGACCGAGCAACGGGAGCUCACCCCGUCACGGGGAUUCGAACUGCCGACCUUGUGAUCGGCAAGUCCUAGGCUCUGUGGUUUAACCCACAGUGCCACCUGCGUCCCUUAGAUAUGUAAUAAAUGUUCAUAAAUGUACCAAGCAAACACAUACAUAAAUAUAUAAACCACAUGUCUGAAAACCCCACGGAAAAAAGUCCUGAACAAAUUGACCUCAAUUAUUUCUCUGCAAAGUCAAAGUGGGAAACCUCCCCAUUGUCUUUUUCCUUCACAAAUCGUGUCUUAAGGGCACAUUUAAGAUAUGAAUAGGGUGUGAGCCUGUGACCUGGCUCAGGAACUAAGUAUUUAUCAUUACAAAAGACUGGCCAGGCUCCCCAGGCAAUCCAAUCAAGUGACCAUUAAACAGGUAACCUGGCAGACAGGAGGUAAACAAACCACUCAGAUUUCUGCUGUAGACCGCCCCUUCUGUAAUGUAUGUAUGAUGUAUGGUGGGGUGGUCUUGAGCUCCAGGGCAGGGACUUUAAAAUGUCUAUAUAAGGCCUUGCGCGCCAUUGUUCUGGGUUCCUCCUCCCUCCUGUGUGUGGUGAGGACCCUGUUGCAACAGAUCAAUAAAGAUCAGGCUUACUAGCUGCUUUGCUUCUCAAUAUUCUCUGGUUUGCCUCCGUUAUCUUCUUCUACCAAUAGGGAACCUACGUAAGGACUCUAUAAAUGUAUCAUCCAAUUUAGUCCCCAGUAAGCACACAGGUCUGCAUUGUGCAAUUAAGGGUUUACACAAAAGGAAGUCCUGCUAGUCCAUUGGGGCUUCUUCUCAGGAAAGCAGGUUUAGGAGUUCAGUCACCAUCUGCUCGUGAGACACACUUUUCUUUAGGGUUUCACUCGUUCCAGAACUAAACACAUUUAAGCAAUUUUAUGAUAACGUGGCUCGUAUUGAUAAACAGCAAAACGAUGGCAUCUGAUUAAAUGUAAUUUAAUUUACAGAUGAAAGCUGCACCCAUCUGAAAAUCAGUGGAACCUCUUUACAGAUAUGAAAAGAGCGAAAGGAAUGAAGAGUAAUUACGCCAAGCCCUGUGCAGGAUAAAAUUCCGUCAUCUGUCACCCCUGCUUUGUGACCAUCAUUUUUGUGUUUAUACAAAAGCGGGAUUUAUGAGGGUCCGGACCCACUACUUGUGUUUCUGGGGGAGAUGGGCAUCCAUUGCUUCAGGGGUGGGGUGCCCCUCCAGCACCCAGAGACGCGCAAACAGCUCCAUCGCCACAACCUUCCUGCCCAGAUGAUCCAGAUUUCUCUGCAAUGCCUGUGGUCACCAUGGCAACAGAAGACUUGAUAAUGCAUUCAGGGAUGCCUUUGCUUCCUUCUCUAGCAGCAGGCUUUAAGGGGAAGGCCAGCCUCCCGACAUACUGUGAAAAUUCCUUUAUUUGAGCUUUUGAGUCAGACUCCAGCCUCAGAACAUAUUUCAGAUAUCUAAGUUCGUUCCAUGCACAUCUUCUGUAUAUUGGGGCAGCCCCUCCCCACCCUGUACAUCAAGCCUCCCCGUUUUUGUCUUUGAAGGACGUCUUAUUAAAAUGCUGAUAUUUGUUUUA
RNAcentral lists this long non-coding RNA (3205 nucleotides) under Podarcis lilfordi (Lilford's wall lizard). Lineage: Eukaryota; Metazoa; Chordata; Lepidosauria; Squamata; Lacertidae. The record is from RNAcentral.